UUGACCUCAAAUCUGGUAGAUA
Molecule: ribosomal RNA, 22 nt
Filed under: Melanoleuca diverticulata
Lineage: Eukaryota; Fungi; Basidiomycota; Agaricomycetes; Agaricales; Pluteaceae
Description: partial 28S ribosomal RNA
Source: RNAcentral